Long non-coding RNA from Lethenteron reissneri (Far Eastern brook lamprey), 163 nucleotides. RefSeq lists it as uncharacterized. NCBI's taxonomy places the organism in Eukaryota, Metazoa, Chordata, Hyperoartia, Petromyzontiformes, Petromyzontidae. The record is from RefSeq and is a predicted model, not a curated record.
CCCUUUCAACGUCAAAGAGGAUCGCAUUCGCGAGUUCUUUCUGCCCCUGCACCCGGAGUCCGUGCGCAUCGUCACCACCAAACAUGGCUCCCGCACGGGCUACGUGUUUGUCGAUUUCAAGUCUGAUGACGACCUCCGCAAGGCUCUGAAGCGCACACAGGAC